UGCGCAGUCGACUCUUUUUCCCUUUACUGCACAGUAUAGUAAAUACUGGCUCAAGGGGUUCAACUGAUUGACCAUGACAGACUCUAGUGGAUUCGGUCCGGCUGGGAACGGGACCAAAUACCCAGCGCUCUGUCUGGGAUCGUUAGAAUGCCGAUUACAAACAAUCUGCAAAGCGCCAAGCUGAGUAAUUUACUUUAACUGCACCUCACUAGACGUAUCUGUGUCAUAAAUGAAAAUUAGGGGCUGAAGCCAGUUGGAUAUGUGUGUAUCAGUGUAUGCGUUGCCUUCACGGCUGCACCCAUUACAGCAUGUUAUCGAAGUAACGCACAAUAAUAAUAUUCGGAUUGUUAUGCACAGUCUCCAUUUAUUUCCAGCAUAAACUCGCCCUCUGAAUUUUCGGAAGGGCUUAUACUAGAAUAAUGCUGCUGAGCCCAAAGGAACGGCGAAUUUUGUUUGAGCAUUUCCUUAGUUAAACCAUUCGUCAACGUUCUUACCAAAUGCAGCACUUGACAAAAGCAGAAUUCCCGUCCACGUUUCUUUAUUUCAUUGCUCAAAUGCUGAUACUGUAGUUCAUCCAGCUGUGGACAGCCUGUCUCGAUCACUGUCCACCACUGCUCGACUUUCAUACGCCGAUCGCAUCCCAGUCGACAAAAAGGAAUCCGGACUGUGAUGUUCAACCACCCAUCCAUAUUUGAACACUGGAAUUCACAAAUGAAAUUCGUUACAGUGAUCUCCAGGCAACUCGUGGCCAGCGAGUCAAAGAUCUUGUAAAGCACCGUAAUGAAAUCCUCAUCCAGAUUAAGAGGAUAAAAGCACCGAAAAUCUUUUAAAAUGAACUUUGCGGGAAGGUGUUCAGUCCCUCCUUUAAUAACUUUUCCCAAAAAAAUCUCAUCAAAAAAAGGCCAGUCCUUUAGCGCCACUAGUUGUUGGGAAUUUUUGCAGACUGCAUGGACAAUAACGGCCACUAUGCGCUGUGCACCGGCAUCAGUGACAUCAAAACUGCCCAUGGAAUACGAGCGGACGUCAGAGGUGGCUCGAAAAAAGCCACGAUUGGACGCCACAUGAAUUUUGAGCCGGCGGCGGACUCUGCUGGCCAUCGAUGUGAACAUCUCGUUCCAUGCCAAACACACCGCCCGCACCCGGCACUGACUGGCGGUAAACAAACACUCGAAUAUUUCCGCCAGGAUAAUGUCUGGAAGGCAUCGUAACGGGCAAUCUUCGUUGUCGGCCGGCACAAAAGCUUCACCCAACGACAGGAGCACGGAAUUACGCUGUAAAAUACAAUGAAUCAACCAAUUAAGAACCUAGCGAAGUAUCUGUAGUCCUUGGCUGAAGGACACCCUUUGAACCGGGCGUCUGAUGCAGUCCAGGGGAACGACGUGCAUCCUUCCAUCCGACAAGCGGACGCAGCCGAGUUUUUGCCGUUGGCGGUGGAUGUCAUGGCCAGCUAUAGUGGCCGGUUGCCACUUCCAUGGCUCAUUACUGCUUUCCCGGAGUAACACUUCCACCGUCUCGUUGAUCCCUGCAACUCCAUGCAAGAAAAACAAAUUUUCUAGCUAAUUUAAGCUAAAAUCACUAAAAUUUGCCGUCUACAGAAUGUAGCAAUUUUGCAACAGUCUGUUCCUGUACCGUGUACUUGCUGGAAAGUGGUACGGCGCCUAUUUUGUGUUCAACUGAUCAUGCUUAUCACACU
Long non-coding RNA from Paramacrobiotus metropolitanus, 1693 nucleotides. RefSeq lists it as uncharacterized. Lineage: Eukaryota; Metazoa; Tardigrada; Eutardigrada; Parachela; Macrobiotidae. The transcript has 3 exons. The record is from RefSeq and is a predicted model, not a curated record.